RNAcentral lists this unclassified non-coding RNA (1407 nucleotides) under Hevea brasiliensis (rubber tree). Lineage: Eukaryota; Viridiplantae; Streptophyta; Magnoliopsida; Malpighiales; Euphorbiaceae. The record is from RNAcentral.
GGUAAAAAUGUUCUCCAUUCCUGUGCUGAUCCAUGGUUCCUUCUAAAAUUAAAUCAAGGAACUAUUGAGUUUUGGUUCUUUUGUUCAACAAGUGCAACUGAAUUCAUCAUCAAUUAGUUUAUUAAAAUUUACUUAAAAAUACAAUAAAGAACUAAGGAAGGUUAAUUACAUAUGACAAUUUCCUGCCAUAUGCCAUUCUGCAGCAUCACCAGCAAGAUCAGGUCUCAAACACUUCCUCCACUCCCAUCAGUUGCUGGGCAAUUCAUCAUCCUCUUAUCAACCAUGACCAUUGAACGAAGCUCACAGUUCACGAAUCUAAUAACAAAUAUUUACAGUAACCAUUUUGAUUAGUCACAGAAAGCAAGAACUUAAUGUAAAAUGUAUUGUAAGUAGAAGUCAUUUUUAUCUGUUCUGCAAGCACCUCUUCAAAUCAGCUUGUUAAUAAUGAAAAUACUGAACCAGUUAAUGUUAAUAAUAUACUUAACUCUUUGCACAUUUCACUUCUGACUGAUGGAUGAAAAUCAUUUGCUAAGGCAUUUAAUGUAUACUGCAAGAACCUGUGGUGAGUAACAACUGCAAUUUCUGUCUCUUGGCGUGUCUUUAACCAGUUCAUAAACUUCAAGCCCCUAGCAGCAACUUCCUCAUCAGUCUCCCUAACAUCUGCUUUCCACAAAUUGUCAUCAUCACUUUCCAUCAGUGAAAAAUCAAUUUGAGGGAAGAGAGAUGAAUACUCGGUAAUGGUUCUCCUCUUAUCGCAUGGAUGAACUCCUGUACGUUCUCGACAAAGUUCAACUGCCACAAUUGGUGGGCUCUUGAGACCUGAUGAUCUUUCUCCACCAAAGACUCCAACUGCUGUUUGCAUAGCCCUUAGCAAAGGGGAAGUGAUGACUAAAUCAAUUUUCUUAAACAGUCCAGAUGUGUUAACAUUGUUGCAGAGAUUGCUAACCUGCUCCAAGCCCAAUGGGGAGAGCUGAGCAUCAAAAAAUUCUGGAGAUAAUAAUGCACCAAGAUCCUUCUUUCCUGCUACAUUGUGAUUUGCUUGUGCAUGCCUCACCAGAUGAAUAAUUUUAGAGUGGCCUAAAGGGAUUAGACAUUGAGAUGUGGUAGAAUCCAUAUCAGCAGAGUCCAGGUAGCUGAAAGAGAAAAGAAAAACACAUAGUUUGCGAAGAAAAUAAGCCCGACGGAGAAUGAAAUUCCUAAUGAAAGAAAAAAAAAUCAUCCUAGUUGUGAUUCUGUGAAUAAAAACAGUAGAAUACGAGAGUACCCCAGGAAGACUGGUAUUGAGAUUCACUAACCCUAUAAUCGAAAUUCAAUCUUUAAAAGCAAGAUUUUCUUUGGUAAAAGUCAAAUUCUUGAAUAUUAAGGUACUGAAUCCAAUAUCAAAAGAGGAGAUGGCCAAACUUGCAG